GUAGUCAUAUGCUUGUCUCAAAGAUUAAGCCAUGCAUGUCUAAGUAUAAGCAACUUUUACGGUGAAACUGCGAAUGGCUCAUUAAAUCAGUUAUCGUUUAUUUGAUAGUACCUUGCUACAUGGAUACCUGUGGUAAUUCUAGAGCUAAUACAUGCUGAAAACCCCGACUUCGGAAGGGGUGUAUUUAUUAGAUAAAAAACCAACGCCCUUCGGGGCUCCUUGGUGAAUCAUGAUAACUUAACGAAUCGCAUGGCCUUGCGCCGGCGAUGGUUCAUUCAAAUUUCUGCCCUAUCAACUUUCGAUGGUAGGAUAGUGGCCUACCAUGGUGGCAACGGGUAACGGGGAAU
RNAcentral lists this ribosomal RNA (347 nucleotides) under uncultured fungus. Its description in RNAcentral is "SSU rRNA". It matches the Rfam family "Eukaryotic small subunit ribosomal RNA", at positions 20 to 370 of the family's 1831-position model. RNAcentral also lists the same sequence under 1 other name. The record is from RNAcentral. Lineage: Eukaryota; Fungi.